AAACGACUCUCGGCAACGGAUAUCUCGGCUCACGCAUCGAUGAAGAACGUAGCAAAAUGCGAUACUUGGUGUGAAUGGCAGAAUCCCGUGAACCAUCGAGUUUUUGAACGCAAGUAGCGCCCGAAGCCAUCCGGUUGAGGGCACGCUUGCCUGGGCGUCACG
RNAcentral lists this ribosomal RNA (162 nucleotides) under Taraxacum inimitabile. RNAcentral's name for it is "5.8S ribosomal RNA". It matches the Rfam family "5.8S ribosomal RNA". From Rfam's summary of the family: 5.8S ribosomal RNA (5.8S rRNA) is a component of the large subunit of the eukaryotic ribosome. It is transcribed by RNA polymerase I as part of the 45S precursor that also contains 18S and 28S rRNA. Functionally, it is thought that 5.8S rRNA may be involved in ribosome translocation. Lineage: Eukaryota; Viridiplantae; Streptophyta; Magnoliopsida; Asterales; Asteraceae. The record is from RNAcentral.